RNAcentral lists this unclassified non-coding RNA (377 nucleotides) under uncultured Parachlamydiaceae bacterium. RNAcentral's name for it is "contains 16S-23S intergenic spacer region". The record is from RNAcentral. Lineage: Bacteria; Pseudomonadati; Chlamydiota; Chlamydiia; Parachlamydiales; Parachlamydiaceae.
UCCUGGUUAACCCAGGCAGUCUCAUUAGAGUUCCCACCUUAAAUGUUGGCAACUAAUGAUAAGGGUUGCGCUCGUUGCUGGACUUAACCAAACACCUCACGGCACGAGCUGACGACAGCCAUGCAGCACCUGUGUACCGGCCCCGAAGGGAGAUAUCAUUUCUGAUAUUGUCCAGUACAUGUCAAAUCUGGGUAAGGUUCUUCGCGUUGCAUCGAAUUAAACCACAUGCUCCACUGCUUGUGCGGGUCCCCGUCAAUUCUUUUGAGUUUCAGCCUUGCGACUGUACUCCCCAGGCGGUAUACUUAACGCGUUUGCUACGGCACAACCGGGGUUGAGUCCAGUUACACCAAGUAUACAUAGUUUACGGCAAGGACUAC